UUGACAGGACAUUUGACAGAGGAUUGGCAAUCAUCAAAAUUUUUGUGUUAAAAAUCUUGUUUUAUUUCACAAAAUUUUUAGAAAGAAUCCAAAUGACUGGUUAAAAGUUGAAAUGAUUCAACGAACGAAGAGUUGAAGCAGCAGUAUGGACCACACUGCUGAGACUUACAGAGUAAAGGUCCACCGAGACGAAUCAACUGUGCGAUGCCGAGCCAAGAAUUCCUCCUGCUGUAUGGACGGCUGCCCGAAGCCGAAGAAGAAAAAGGGCUCCAAAUGCAAGACCAAAAAGAACCCAUCGCUGGACACCAUCAAGAAAUCCCUGAGCGUUAACUGCUGUGCAUGUUGUUGUGUGUUAGCAGACUACAUAAAAGAAGCCUGCAAGCUUAUAUGCUCUUGUUUGAACGAAAAACCGACAGAGACCAGAAUCUGCGAGUUGUUCUCCCAAUUGUUGGAACUAUCCUGGUGUCUAGGUUCCGAUUGUUGUCAUUUGAUCAAGCAUUUGUUCAGAUUUUUGUGCGUUUACAAGAAGUGAUUUGGUCUCUCAAACUUUUUGUGGCAAUAAAAGUUUGUGAUGUA
Molecule: long non-coding RNA, 576 nt
Organism: Ostrinia nubilalis (European corn borer)
Lineage: Eukaryota; Metazoa; Arthropoda; Insecta; Lepidoptera; Crambidae
Exons: 2
Source: RefSeq, a predicted model, not a curated record